GGCGGCGUGCCUAAUACAUGCAAGUCGAACGGUCUUUCUAUGGAAGCUUGCUUCCACUGAGAAGGCAGUGGCGAACGGGUGAGUAACACGUGGGUAACCUGCCCAUAAGAGGGGGAGUAACAAUCCGGAAACGGGUGCUAAUACCGCAUAGUUUUCUUGAUCGCAUGAUUGAGAAAGGAAAGACGGCCUUUGUGCUGUCGCUUAUGGAUGGACCCGCGGCGUAUUAGUUAGUUGGUGAGGUAACGGCUCACCAAGACGAUGAUACGUAGCCGACCUGAGAGGGUGAUCGGCCACAUUGGGACUGAGACACGGCCCAAACUCCUACGGGAGGCAGCAGUAGGGAAUCUUCCGCAAUGGACGAAAGUCUGACGGAGCAACGCCGCGUGAGUGAAGAAAGGUUUUCGGAUCGUAAAACUCUGUUGUCAGAGAAGAACAAGUUGGAGAGUAACUGCUCCAGCCUUGACGGUAUCUGACCAGAAAGCCACGGCUAACUACGUGCCAGCCGCCGC
Molecule: ribosomal RNA, 509 nt
Filed under: uncultured bacterium
Lineage: Bacteria
Description: bacterial SSU rRNA
Rfam family: Bacterial small subunit ribosomal RNA
Source: RNAcentral